Molecule: long non-coding RNA, 400 nt
Organism: Motacilla alba alba
Lineage: Eukaryota; Metazoa; Chordata; Aves; Passeriformes; Motacillidae
Exons: 4
Source: RefSeq, a predicted model, not a curated record
UCAUCUAGAACCCAGGACUGGUGCACUCAAGGGCACUCAAUAAACAAUGCAGCAGGAUUCAAUCCAGCAUCUCUGGGCACAGCACCAAGGACAAAGGUGUUGAGGCACACAUCAGAGGUUGAGAUAAGAAGAUGAAUCUCAAGUUACAUGCCCUAUAAAUUGGACCAUUUAAUGAGUCUUUCUUAAUUCACACUGGAGCUGCUAGGACUCUACCCGGGAGACUGCACCAUUUAGCUUUGAAUGAUGCUGUCUCCACAGCUGCACAAAAUCUUAGCAGUUGCAUUUUUCCUGCUCACAUUCUGUGCUCAAGGUAAACUUGCAGGAUUUCUUCCACGCUUCCCUUUCAAGCCUUUUUUUGGAGAUAGGAGCAACAGUGGAGAUGAACAACAAAUACCAGGUA